Molecule: long non-coding RNA, 311 nt
Filed under: Helianthus annuus (common sunflower)
Lineage: Eukaryota; Viridiplantae; Streptophyta; Magnoliopsida; Asterales; Asteraceae
Description: hypothetical non coding rna
Source: RNAcentral
GAGAGGAUUACUCGUGAGAAGGUGAACGGCCAGACCGUUAAUGUUGGGAUUAACCCGUCGAAGGUUGUUGCGACGAAGCUGAAGCUUGAUAAGGACAGGAAGUCGUUGCUUGCUUGAGAGGAAGGCGAAGAGGCGUGCUUCUCUUCAAGAGAUCGAUUAGGUUUUCAAUUAUGUUUUGUUAAGUUUUGGUUAUGGUUUUACAGAGCUUAAUGCUUUUACCCUACUUUUGUUAUGACCUUUGUUUGUUUGAAGAUGAUUUUACGAUUAUGGUUUGUAGUUAUAUUUUAUGGGUGCUGUUUAAUUAGGUAGAA